CAGUCAUGUUCUGGUGAAGCUGUGGUAACAUUCUGGUCAAAACUAAGGAGACUCCAAGUGAGGAUGCAAAAAGGAGUAUUAACAGAAAAAGAAAGGAAGAUACAUUAAAGAAGACUGUGCAGAUACUUAUGGUUUACAAAUUGAAAGAAGCUCCUUAUUUGUGGGAAUCUGCAAACCAGUUUCUGGAGGGUUCAAGAAAAUGAUGAAAAAGUUUCUCAUAAUUUUUUGACUAGGGGCCCAGCUCAAAAUUUGGGUAAAGGUGUUCUCUGGAUGCUGGAGGAGAAAAAUCACACCAAGUUCUUCAGAUGGGGCCAGGCACUUCAAAAGUGGGAAAAGAAUGAUGAACGUGGAAAAAAGAAAAAUUGUGUCAGGAGAAGAUGUUUGAAAUGGGGGUGGGGGUAGGAAUUUGUGUAAUAUGGAUGAUUGCUAAAAUCUCAGUACAGAGGUGACAGAACACCUGGAAAGAGGAAUGAAGCAGAGACCAACAAGGUGUUUGAAUUGAAUCCUAUAAAGGGGAAGAUGUGAUCUGGUGGUCAACAAAGAAGGUUAACUGGUACUUCCAGAAAGAGAAUAUCAUUAUGAAAUGCAGAGCUGAAACAGUUGCUUUAUAAAAAGAGAAUAGGUAAUGGGGCACAAGGAGCUGGAUGAAAUGCCACUACAGAGAGGUCAUUAUCAGUUCACAUAGCUUGUUGCUAGCACCAUAUGCGCUUUCUUAGUAUAAAAGCAGAGAGAUAGAAAGUCAAUAAUGAAACCAGGUGGGAAAGAAAAAAACAAUUUUGAUUUGUAAAUUCUGAAGAAACAGAAGCAAAAAUCACCUGAAGACCUGAAUGGGAGCUUCAGUGAGGAUCCAUCCUAAAGCAAAAAGAAAUAAGGAAGAGCACCAGGGAGCUGCCAUUUGAAAGAAGAACUAAGCAGAAAAGAAAUAAAAAGCUAUCAGGAUUGUCUCUAGAGCUUCCUAGAAAUCUCAUCCAUUUUAUUAAACUACAAAAUCCCAUGAAACAAAAACAGUCUUGGCUGUUACUAUUUCAUAUUUUUUUUCCUCUCCUUGAUCCCUUCCAAACAAA
Long non-coding RNA from Numida meleagris (helmeted guineafowl), 1064 nucleotides. RefSeq lists it as uncharacterized. NCBI's taxonomy places the organism in Eukaryota, Metazoa, Chordata, Aves, Galliformes, Numididae. The transcript has 2 exons. The record is from RefSeq and is a predicted model, not a curated record.